This 124-nucleotide small nucleolar RNA is filed under the name Echinops telfairi (small Madagascar hedgehog). Its description in RNAcentral is "Small nucleolar RNA SNORA61 (ENSETEG00000026532.1)". The record is from RNAcentral. Lineage: Eukaryota; Metazoa; Chordata; Mammalia; Afrosoricida; Tenrecidae.
ACUCUCCCGAUUCCUUACCCCUUGAAGCUAAAUAUUGACCUUAGUGGCUAAAUAAAAAGGAGGAAUAGGAAAAUGGAAACCGAUUUUGAGUCUUCAAUGACAUAUAAGUUCAUUUCAAACAUAG